This 1372-nucleotide ribosomal RNA is filed under the name uncultured bacterium. Its description in RNAcentral is "bacterial SSU rRNA". It matches the Rfam family "Bacterial small subunit ribosomal RNA", at positions 28 to 1381 of the family's 1533-position model. The record is from RNAcentral.
GAUGAACGCUGGCGGCGUGCCUAAUACAUGCAAGUCGAGCGAACGGACGAGAAGCUUGCUUCUCUGAUGUUAGCGGCGGACGGGUGAGUAACACGUGGAUAACCUACCUAUAAGACUGGGAUAACUUCGGGAAACCGGAGCUAAUACCGGAUAAUAUUUUGAACCGCAUGGUUCAAAAGUGAAAGACGGUCUUGCUGUCACUUAUAGAUGGAUCCGCGCUGCAUUAGCUAGUUGGUAAGGUAACGGCUUACCAAGGCAACGAUGCAUAGCCGACCUGAGAGGGUGAUCGGCCACACUGGAACUGAGACACGGUCCAGACUCCUACGGGAGGCAGCAGUAGGGAAUCUUCCGCAAUGGGCGAAAGCCUGACGGAGCAACGCCGCGUGAGUGAUGAAGGUCUUCGGAUCGUAAAACUCUGUUAUUAGGGAAGAACAUAUGUGUAAGUAACUGUGCACAUCUUGACGGUACCUAAUCAGAAAGCCACGGCUAACUACGUGCCAGCAGCCGCGGUAAUACGUAGGUGGCAAGCGUUAUCCGGAAUUAUUGGGCGUAAAGCGCGCGUAGGCGGUUUUUUAAGUCUGAUGUGAAAGCCCACGGCACAACCGUGGAGGGUCAUUGGAAACUGGAAAACUUGAGUGCAGAAGAGGAAAGUGGAAUUCCAUGUGUAGCGGUGAAAUGCGCAGAGAUAUGGAGGAACACCAGUGGCGAAGGCGACUUUCUGGUCUGUAACUGACGCUGAUGUGCGAAAGCGUGGGGAUCAAACAGGAUUAGAUACCCUGGUAGUCCACGCCGUAAACGAUGAGUGCUAAGUGUUAGGGGGUUUCCGCCCCUUAGUGCUGCAGCUAACGCAUUAAGCACUCCGCCUGGGGAGUACGACCGCAAGGUUGAAACUCAAAGGAAUUGACGGGGACCCGCACAAGCGGUGGAGCAUGUGGUUUAAUUCGAAGCAACGCGAAGAACCUUACCAAAUCUUGACAUCCUUUGACAACUCUAGAGAUAGAGCUUUCCCCUUCGGGGGACAAAGUGACAGGUGGUGCAUGGUUGUCGUCAGCUCGUGUCGUGAGAUGUUGGGUUAAGUCCCGCAACGAGCGCAACCCUUAAGCUUAGUUGCCAUCAUUAAGUUGGGCACUCUAAGUUGACUGCCGGUGACAAACCGGAGGAAGGUGGGGAUGACGUCAAAUCAUCAUGCCCCUUAUGAUUUGGGCUACACACGUGCUACAAUGGACAAUACAAAGGGCAGCGAAACCGCGAGGUCAAGCAAAUCCCAUAAAGUUGUUCUCAGUUCGGAUUGUAGUCUGCAACUCGACUACAUGAAGCUGGAAUCGCUAGUAAUCGUAGAUCAGCAUGCUACGGUGAAUACGUUCCCGGGUCU